UACGUAGGGGGCGAGCGUUGUCCGGAAUUAUUGGGCGUAAAGAGCGUGUAGGCGGUUCGGUAAGUCUGCCGUGAAAUCCUGGGGCUCAACCCCGAGCCUGCAUUCGAUACGGGCAGACUUGAGUUCGGCAGGGGAGACUGGAAUUCCUGGUGUAGCGGUGAAAUGCGCAGAUAUCAGGAGGAACACCGGUGGCGAAGGCGGGUCUCUGGGCCGAUACUGACGCUGAGACGCGAAAGCUAGGGGAGCGAACAGG
Molecule: ribosomal RNA, 253 nt
Filed under: uncultured bacterium
Lineage: Bacteria
Description: partial 16S ribosomal RNA
Rfam family: Bacterial small subunit ribosomal RNA
Source: RNAcentral